AUGGGAGACGCCGCCUCCGCCGCGCAGCCUCCGCCCGCGGCGUCGCCCGCCUUCUCCUACCUGGCCGUGUUCGGCAACUGCCCGCUCAUCGCCGCCGUCCUGGCCUUCGCCAUCGCCCAGUCCAUCAAGGUCUUCACCACAUGGUACAAGGAGAACCGGUGGGACGCGAAGCAGCUGGUGGGGUCCGGGGGGAUGCCGUCUUCGCACUCGGCCACCGUCACCGCGCUCGCAGUCGCCAUCGGCCUACAGGAAGGGUUCAGCAGCUCGCUCUUCGCCACCGCUGCCAUCUUCGCCUCUGUGGUGAUGUAUGAUGCUUUUGGUGUUAGGCUACAUGCAGGGAGGCAAGCAGAGGUCUUGAAUCAAAUUGUAUACGAGCUACCAUCAGAGCAUCCACUUGCUGAAACAAGACCGCUGCGAGAGCUCAUAGGACACACGCCUCCUCAGGUUUUUGCUGGCGCGGUGCUUGGAUUUGCAGUAGCCACAUUUACGGGGAUGAUGGCUGGGCUUGGUAACAGUGGUUGA
RNAcentral lists this ribosomal RNA (522 nucleotides) under Triticum aestivum (bread wheat). Its description in RNAcentral is "partial small subunit ribosomal RNA". The record is from RNAcentral. Lineage: Eukaryota; Viridiplantae; Streptophyta; Magnoliopsida; Poales; Poaceae.